This 101-nucleotide small nuclear RNA is filed under the name Octodon degus (degu). The record is from RNAcentral. Lineage: Eukaryota; Metazoa; Chordata; Mammalia; Rodentia; Octodontidae.
GUGCUCGCUUCAGCAACACAUAUACUAAAACUGGACCCACACAGAGAAGAUGAACAUGGCCCCUGUGCAAGGAUGACACACAAAUGUGUGUCCUUAUUUGA